UAUUUUUUAAUGGAAUUUGAAUUUCUAUACAAAUAGAGCUUGAUGCAAAUCACAAGUAAAAAAUUAAUCAUCUAGUAAAUAAAAAAUGCAUCAUUCACCAUUUUCUAACAUGAGAAACAUUAAGAAUCUGAAUAAAUAUAAGUUAAGCUAUCUUAAGUAAGUUUUAAACGAAUGUGUAUAAAUAUAAUGUGUCCUCCUGGUUGGCAAAAAGAAGCACCAAAUUCAGUGUAAAGGCUAUAUUUAGUUACAAAUCAACAUGUUUUAAUGGAUACCAGUCAAUCAGUGAGAAUCAGCUUCUCUUUAUGAAAAUAAUUUUGAAAGUUCAGAUGCAAAACACUAUUAAAAUUGAUAAUUUAAAUGGAAGUUUCCUGCCUCCUGAUUUAAAUCAUGAUUGACAGUGAUUUAAAUUAAUCCAGUCCACUGUAUUCGUCAAGCAGUAAAGAAGCAAAUAGUCUGAUCUGAUGUGAGUUGUAUUUGGUUAACUAGUCACUGCAAAUUCUCAUAUGAAAUUACCUAUUAAUAAAUCUCAUGAUAUUUGGGCAUUUACCUGCCAUGGGACCAGGUGUGUCCAACAUAGGGUUGAACACAAAUAUCAGUGCUCUGAGCUAUUUGUUUAAACUGAGAACCUGAAUCUACCCAUGUGUGGAUAGUCAUUACUAGCACCAUAGCAAAAAUAGUGGAAACAUGACCUGAAUGCCCUUUCUCAGGGUGAGUAUUCCUCCCUCAGUGGGAAGAAAUCAUAAAUACUUAUUCUUGGGAUAUUUCCAAUGCAAUGAAUAGAGGAAAUUCUAUAGACCAAAAAAAAAAAAAAAAAAUCAGUUCUAGCAGGUAGUAAUGCCUUGAAAUGGUGAGACAUUUUUCACAACUCAGAAGUAGGCUACUAUGUAAGAUCAUAACUUUACUUGCCCUUCUUUCUACCGUUUGAAUGCAGGAAUACAAUGCCCCAAGUAUCUGGUGAUGUAAACACCAACUGCAAUGUAAUCCAUAAAUAUAAGUGCCUACUAACCAAUGUUGCCAACUCCCACCAUUUUAUCUCAAGUCUAGCAAUAUUUAGCACCUAGACCCAAAUUGAUUAAACAAGAAUCUUAGCAUUCCUUUUUGCAGGGUAACACAACUUUUGGAAAUCAUCUCAUCACAUAAUCUGAAGAGUAAACAUCUACCGCAGGUUCCAAAAACCAAUAGAGAGAUGCUGGAGUCAUAGCCACUGAAGAAAGACCCAGCUGAUUUAAAGUACAAGUCAAGGCUCUCUGUUCACAUCCUGAUUUUCACAGCUAAACAACAGGGCAGGAUCUGGCUACAUCAAUGACCGCAUCUUCAUCCAUGACACAUUGAGACAGCUGAGUUCCUCUGGGACAACUCAGAUAAUAAACAAGAGAACAAGGUGUGUGAGAUCCAGAAAUAAGACACUCUUCCUUGAGGGGGCUCAGCAGUGGAAUAAGCUACCAGAAACCAUCAGUUCCCAAACAGGUGCCCACAGAGUGCUGGCAGGUUACAUGGAGCAGGCUCCUCCACUGAAUCCAGUGGCUCUAACACCCUUGCAAGUACCACAAGGGGUUCCAGCUGCUAUUCCAGCCCAUAUGCUGAAACAGCAGACACAGAGGGGUUGUGCUGAAGCUCCGCAGCCUUCUCAUGGCUUGUCAGAGGACAAGUCCACCCCACAUAUUGCCCAACACAAAAUGUGUGUGGGGGGAGGGCAAGUUUGCAUAAAUUUCACCCAUACAUGUCAGUGUCCCUUCAAUAUACACACAGGACUCCUAUUAACAUUGUGGCAGAAACAGACAUGAACUGGAGGCUGAAGGAAUGGAAAAGGAGACUCACGAGAGGGUCUACUUGUAGAAUCUCUUUCUCCUGGCCAAACUCACAGGUACCAUGGGGAGUCUGAUGUCAUGGGCAUUACAGUAACAAUUCAGAAAUUUCAGAGGCUCCAACCAUUCCUGUGACUAUAAGGAAACUGCUAAGUUUGUACAACUCGUGCCUGAACCACAAAACUCAAGAAGCAUAAAUUCUAAAUACGUUACUGUAAAAUCCAGCUUGGAUUGAUACCCUCUGCUAGAUCCGUGUACUGGGCACACGUCUCCUCUCUUCUCUACUGAGCAAUAAGGCUACUGGAGUUUAAGUUUCUGUGAUCUACAUGUAUAAGACAUCCAUGUUCAUGUAACUGACCAUGUAAUAAUUUAGACUCCAAUUAAGUACCUCCUGUUUCCCACUUGUUGCUGAUUUAUUGUUAAUGCAACUUUCAAACAAAUAGCCUUCCUACUAUCCUCAAGAAAGUGAAGCACUGAUAUAUCUGCACAUGUGUUUUUUGGACAAUGUUAUACAAAGGAAAACUGUCACCGUAGCAUCUAGUCAAAAUCAUGAGAGGAGUAGUGGAUAGGACAGAACAAACGGUGGGUCCCAUUCCACCAGUGGGUGGCAGGAAAGUUCUAGCUAGGUUACAGGCCCAGUGUGGAAAGGAGGCCCCAGCAGGGGGUGGGGGCAGGAUUAAAGAGCAAGCCCACCCUGCACUCACCUCACAGUGGCAGCUCCUAUCCUGUGGGGCUGGGCCCAGCUAUCUGCUCUGGACGCCAUGCGCCAAGUCGCAAUGCCACUCACUCAGACUUGGCCCGGCCACCCUGCUGACAUGGAGGGGUGGCCAGGCCAAACCUGAGUGAGUAGCAUUGUGACCCCAUUCGCCAAGCCAUAAUGCCCAGAACGGGGGGCCAGGCCAACCCCAACCAACAGGAGCUGCCAUUAUGGGUUGAGUGUGGGGCAGGCUUCCUCUCUCACCCCCUGCCCCCAGCCUUCCUUCUGCACUGGACUAGGAUUAGGGGGGUAGUGCUGAGUCAGAGGGUACUACUGCAGAUUGUCAAUGCACCCCUGGCAGGGCAAAGAGGCGGUGGCAGUGGCAAAAGACACUGGCCUAUGAACACGUCCCCCCACCCAGUUUGGACCCUGGGUGGGCCAUGCACAAAAAGAAAAGAAAAUGCAGUUGGUGGGUCACCUUAGGAAAAGGUUUGGGAACCAACGAGAUAGGUAGAGCCCUGCAAGUCUGCAGAUAUCUACUGACCACGUUUGCGGAUCAGAUGCAGAUACACAUUUUGUAUCCACGCAGGGCUCCAGCGAUAGGACACUGGCCUGGGAGCUGUCCAGAGUUCUGCAACUGACCUGCUGAAAAAUGGAAGGCAAGCUCUUUCCACCCCCAUGUGUGUCUGUUUCCCCUCCCAUCUCUCAUCUGUGUUGCCUAUUUAGAUUACAAGCUCCUCGAGGCAGGGGCUCUCCCUUCUCUAUUUUGCCUAAUACAGGGGGGCCAGGCCUCAAGCUCAGUUGGGCUCACCGGCCACUACCGUAAUACAAAUAAAAAUAAUAAUGGUCAUUUAAAAAUAUUAUUAUGUGUUAAAAACAGGUUCAGAUAGUACAACUGCACCUGAGUGCCUCUGCCAAUUUUGGGGGUUUUACCCCAGAUUUCCCUUUUAGGGAGGUAGUGUGGCCUACAGGAUAGAUCACUGGACUGGGAUUCCAGACACCAGGGUUCUAUUCCUGGCUCUGCCACUGGUGUUGGGUGACUUUGGACAAGUUACUUUGCCUCUCUGUGCCUCAGUUUCCCCAACUUAUAUGGAGCUUCUUUGUAUAGCACUGUGAAAUUUACUGAAAAGCCCUAUACAAGAGCCAGAUAUUAUUUUUUAAAUGUUUCUCUUCCCUUUUGUUGUAGAAAAUCCCACACAAUCAUCAGGGAAAACUGACUACAGCAAAGUUUUCAUAUUCAGAUAAACUAUUCAAUUGGUACAUUAAAAUGCACAAAAUAAAGAAACCGAAGAAACAAGA
Long non-coding RNA from Chelonia mydas (Green sea turtle), 3801 nucleotides. RefSeq lists it as uncharacterized. The record is from RefSeq and is a predicted model, not a curated record. The transcript is spliced from 2 exons. Lineage: Eukaryota; Metazoa; Chordata; Testudines; Cheloniidae.